CGCCGGUGAAUCGUCCGUCAAUCAGUGCUUAGCCUUUUCCGAAUAACUACAAUCGUAUCAGUCGGUAAUCAUUUGUAUUUCACAAGGACUUAUUUAAUAACAAACGCCGAAUCCAUCAGCAUACGUUGUUAGUUACUCGUACCUUGCAGUCAGUUGCAUUAAGCAGGCUUACCAAACCGGUGAUUAAGAAGGCCUCUUGAAAAUGAAUCCCGCAGCGGCUAACGCCACUCCCAUGAUCGCCAUCGGCAUCAUUCAGCUUCUUUCUGGUAUUGCCAUCUUCCUUACUGAUGUUUUAUCGCUGUCGCUGUACGGAUUCUCGGGACGGUCUACACCGGCAUCGUCCUGGGCAUCUUCUACAUCAUCACCGGCUCCAUCGGCGCAGCCGCCGGGUCCAGCGCCCGCAACCCCGCCGGAUCAGGGCGGUGUUUGGCCAUCGCUUCACUGGUGAUGAGCAUUCUGUCCAUCCUGAACGCCUUCAGCCUGAUCAUCUGGUGCAGCUUUUUCCUCAGCACCGUUUGGUAUCCCGGCUACUAUUACUUUUCGUUAUCCGCUACUACGGACCCAGUGUGGUGGGCGCCCAGCUAGCCUUCUUCGUCAUCGUCUUCAUCGCCAGCAUCGUCAUGUGUCUUCAGCACGCGCGCCAUGAACGCCAUGCGCAGCAGCAUGAUGACGACGGUGACACACGUGACGCAUGUGGUGCAGCAACCGGGAAUGGUGUAUAAUACCGCGCAGUAUCCCGGUCAGCAGUUCGUCUAUCCGCCACAGCAGCCGUAUGCGCCGCAACAGCCGUACGGACAGCCGCCCGCCGGUGCCUAUGCGUAUCCGGGACAGCAGUCCUACGCGCCUCCGGCUCCGCUGAAAGUUUAAGCGAUUACCGUGAUUGAUGCUCCAUUGUUGCGUGGUUAUGAUAUCGAUUAGCACGACGGAAGUGUCACUGAUAACUUAUGAGUAAUAACCCCAGCUCCAAUAACAUAGAAAAUUUACACGUCCUGUAUAAAGUGGCACAACGUCGUAUAUGCAGUUUGUAUGUGUGUACGAUUCUUGCCUAUUACGAUGCUUUAUUCUUAAUCAUCGAAUGUUGAAUAAUUUAUAUUUGACGUAUUUCAGACGUGCAUCUGAUCAUAACGCUGAACGACUGUAUAAAUGAAAGUUAAGUUUUACUUAGCUAAUGUUAAAUUGGCGCAGUUUACGUAUCCUGUGCAGUUGUUUCCCUGUUCAUCUCGGCACCGGCAGCAUGGUGCCGUGUGCUUUUUGCCGUUCGUGCGUUACAGCUCACUGACAUUUGCAUUGGUGGUUUUUGCUGCGUUCAUACUGUUACGUUUUGAAUUAGUUCUCCGUUGAAUAACGGUGUUCACAACAAUCUCUUAUCAUGCCACCGAAGAAGAAGCCCAACAGUAACCUCAGCCCGAAGAAAAAGCGUUCAGGGGGAGGCACCAGAGGAGGCCGGGCUCCACGAACUAACACGCGUCCCAGUCGAAAACGCAAUCGAUCCCCGUCCCCCGCUCCCACAAUCAGGUCGCAAGUGGUGGUAGUUGAUCCACCUCCGCUUGAUUUACAGACCCUGAUCGCACGCCAACAUCAACAGCACCAGCAACAAAUCCAGCAGCUCCUGGACAUUGCCACACCGCUGGCAACCAGGGAGCUGGGAGUUCCCCGGCCAAUUUCUCCAGCGACUGCAUCUGUCAUCCAGAUUGAGUCGCAUCCGGAUGGAAAGAGGGAUGUGCAUCAGAGGGGUGAAAGCAUUAAACGCUCGCACCGCCGACGUAGAGACGGAGCGUUUUCGGAAGCUAGCCGUCCAGGCCUCGCAGCGGCCGACACCAUGUCCGGAUAUCUUUGGGAACCUGCAGGAGACAUACGACCAAACACCACUCUGCAGCGCCUCCUCGGUGCACACAUCUCAUCAUCCUCCCGCACGACGUACGACUGUUCACUGAACCGCUUCCGAACGUUUUGCCUUGAGAAUCGCCUAACGCCGCUUCCGGCAGCUCCGGCAACAGUGGCCGCCUUUGUCGCACAUCUCUUCGAGGACAAGGCAGCAUUUCGGACAUGCAAAGUGUACUUGGCGGCAAUACACAAUUACCACCGAGAGGCAGGACUUCCUAACCCAGCAGCCGACGACCUGGUGAUACGAGCGGUCAACGGAUACAAGCGGCUCAAUGGUCCGACACCUGACCGACGUCUACCAAUAACUAUGGACGUGAUGCGAUCGCUUAAAACCCGACUGGCAGAAUAUAAGAACACCGAAGAAGCCUUGAUGUUGUGGAGCGCGUUUUGCAUGGCAUUCUUCGGGUUUAUGCGCGUCAGCGAGAUCGUCAGUAAGUCGCGGAACUCCUUCGAUGCAGCUUCAACUCUGACGUUCGACGACGUGGAGUUGACGAGUGAGUGUGUGAUAAUCACACUAAAACGUACGAAGACCGACCAAUGCGCAGCAGGCACAAAGAUCGAGCUCACUGCCACUAACCGCUCAGUGUGCCCUGUGCGCGCCAUCGGCAUGUACCACCGUCAGCGGAGGCUGCAAGGCGAAAGUACGAAGCCUUUCUACCGCCACUCUGACGGUCGCUACCUCACGCGGGAGACAGUGGACCGAUCCAUGAAAUCUCUCCUGGAAGGGCACCCCGAUCGCUUGCGCUUCAGCACCCACAGUUUCCGCAUUGGAGCGGCGACGGAAGCUGCCGCACAGGCAGUACCGAAGGAUGAAAUCAAGCGAGCCGGACGAUGGAAAAGUGACUGCGUGGACCGAUACAUCCGGCCGGAUGUGCUUACCAACCCGAACUUUUAUCGGAGAAGAGUUUGUUUGGGGGCGAAGGGACCGGGCACAGGCGGAAGGUGCCGGCAGUGAGCAAUCUGUACCACAAGGUAAGAUACUCAGCUGUAAUUGCGCACUUCCGGCCAUGCCGGCACUCUUCAAACCUCAGUAACCGCACGGAAAGUCUGCGGUCGCCCAGCAUACCGGGCCUCGGGAUAGGAAAUUCGCAUACAAUUUAACGUCGGUUUGUGGUUGUGACGUGUUAUCGUGCGAUACAGAUCUGCACGCGGCAAGCACACGGCAUUUCACGUCUUGUCAGUCCAACAAAAGUGCCAUACACUAUGAAAUACCGCAAACACAUCCAUCACCUGUUCUUAUUAAUUUACCUUGAGAUUAAAAUCGAAAAUCAGAUAAUGCAGGGAACUACGUAACUUGCCAGGCUGCAGCAUGUUUGCUCUGAUUUCGUGAUUAACACUGCUCAAAAACGGAUGCGAUGUCUUUAUACACCGGCGUCUCAUAUGAAUUUAAUGAUAAGAAACACCAUUUAACUUGCGUCUUUGCGCCUUCACUCGCAUUCGGUUAAAAACAAGGUACCGCUAAAAUAAGGCACUGAACAGCCCUGAAUUAAUAUACUGAACUGAGUAGCCCUGAUUUAAUAAUUAUAUACUUUUACGAAACCUGGUUUAUCGCUUCCAUCAUCACAUACACAAACUGACCUUUAAUCGUUGUGAAGUACCGUAAUAGUGGACGUAAUCUUAACAUGGAACCAGCGGCGCCAGUUUCCGGGAGUCUGUCCUUGUUCUUGGCAUUUUUCAAAUUCUCUGCGGUGUCGCCGUUUUUACACUGGAAAUUCUACCGCUGGCGUUCUACCGUGUCCACUGGACCGAAUGUGUCGGCAUUGUCCUGGGCCUCAUCUACGUCACAACCGGCACUGUGGCCAUUGCCGCCAGCACCGUCUUCCACAACACCAUCAGCGCUCGCUGCGCCCAUGGUCUGGCACUGGUUUCCUUGGUCCUCAACAUCGUGUCGACCUGCAGCUCUUUCAGCAUGCUUGUCUGGUGUUCGGUGAUUCUGAACAAUCUACUGAAUUCCCUAUGGAUUUUUGGUAUGCCCACGAGGAGAGCUGGGAGCAGACUUAUACGAAACAAGGGAGACUGGUUCAUCCAGCUGUAGCGGGAUUUUCCGGAUGGCAGAUAGCGUUUUUUCUCCUUAUGACCAUUGUCAGUUUCGCGUUGUCCGUGUGCAUUUACCGUGUUCUGAAGGCUCAGCGCGCGACCAACACAACCCGGACGUCCCCUGAGUCGGGCGCGUUUUGGGCGGUGCCAUUGCGGUAAAGAUGCUGGAGAAUCCAUCAGCAAGUUAGCAGCGAUUUCGCUUGGGUGUUGUUAAAGGAAAUGCUGUUGCUGUUUCGGACACUAUGGAUAUACGACGUAGUCACGUAUACAUUUAAAUGUGAAUUACGCCUGAAUGCACCUUUUGCUAUCCAGGCGACUUUUGCCCCAUAAAGAUUAAAAAAUGUUUAUGAACGAGUAAUCGUAUAAUGCCAAAACUGAUCAACUUAACUGGUCACCAAUUUAAAGAGUUAUUUCAUCGCUAUGUUGUGUUUCGAUUGGUCAA
Molecule: RNA transcript, 4363 nt
Organism: Paramacrobiotus metropolitanus
Lineage: Eukaryota; Metazoa; Tardigrada; Eutardigrada; Parachela; Macrobiotidae
Exons: 4
Source: RefSeq, a predicted model, not a curated record